RNAcentral lists this ribosomal RNA (449 nucleotides) under uncultured bacterium. RNAcentral describes it as "partial 16S ribosomal RNA". It matches the Rfam family "Bacterial small subunit ribosomal RNA", at positions 29 to 523 of the family's 1533-position model. The record is from RNAcentral.
AACGAACGCUGGCGGCAUGCCUAACACAUGCAAGUCGAACGAACCCUUCGGGGUUAGUGGCGCACGGGUGCAUAACGCGUGGGAAUCUGCCCUUAGGUUCGGAAUAACUCAGAGAAAUUUGAGCUAAUACCGGAUGAUGACGUAAGUCCAAAGAUUUAUCGCCUGAGGAUGAGCCCGCGUAGGAUUAGCUAGUUGGUGUGGUAAAGGCGAACCAAGGCGACGAUCCUUAGCUGGUCUGAGAGGAUGAUCAGCCACACUGGGACUGAGACACGGCCCAGACUCCUACGGGAGGCAGCAGUGGGGAAUAUUGGACAAUGGGCGAAAGCCUGAUCCAGCGAUGCCGCGUGAGUGAUGAAGGCCUUAGGGUUGUAAAGCUCUUUUACCCGGGAUGAUAAUGACAGUACCGGGAGAAUAAGCUCCGGCUAACUCCGUGCCAGCCGCCGCCGUAA